This 62-nucleotide transfer RNA is filed under the name Heterocephalus glaber (naked mole-rat). It matches the Rfam family "tRNA". Rfam says of the family: Transfer RNA (tRNA) molecules are approximately 80 nucleotides in length. Their secondary structure includes four short double-helical elements and three loops (D, anti-codon, and T loops). The record is from Rfam by way of RNAcentral. Lineage: Eukaryota; Metazoa; Chordata; Mammalia; Rodentia; Bathyergidae.
GGGGAUGUAGCCUAGUGGUAGAGCACUGGCUUUGAAUGCUAGAGGCCCCGGUUCCAUCCUCA